AAUCCUACGGGGCGCAGCAGUGGGGAAUAUUGCACAAUGGGGGAAACCCUGAUGCAGCGACGCCGCGUGAGUGAGGAAGUAUUUCGGUAUGUAAAGCUCUAUCAGCAGGGAAGAAAAUGACGGUACCUGACUAAGAAGCCCCGGCUAACUACGUGCCAGCAGCCGCGGUAAUACGUAGGGGGCAAGCGUUAUCCGGAUUUACUGGGUGUAAAGGGAGCGUAGACGGAGGAGCAAGUCUGAUGUGAAAUCCCACGGCCCAACCGUGGAACUGCCUUUGAAACUGUAGAGCUUGAGUGUCGGAGAGG
RNAcentral lists this ribosomal RNA (305 nucleotides) under uncultured bacterium. Its description in RNAcentral is "bacterial SSU rRNA". It matches the Rfam family "Bacterial small subunit ribosomal RNA", at positions 335 to 657 of the family's 1533-position model. The record is from RNAcentral.